RNAcentral lists this ribosomal RNA (477 nucleotides) under uncultured bacterium. RNAcentral describes it as "partial 16S ribosomal RNA". It matches the Rfam family "Bacterial small subunit ribosomal RNA", at positions 28 to 507 of the family's 1533-position model. The record is from RNAcentral.
GAUUAACGCUGGCGGCGUGCAUAACACAUGCAAGUCGAACGAUGAAACUUAGUAGACUUCUUCGGAAAGAAACUAAGCGGAUUAGUGGCGAACGGGUGAGUAACGCGUGAGUAACCUGCCUUACACAAGGGGAUAGCCUUUGGAAACGAAGAAUAAUACCCUAUAAAACCAUAAAAGCACAUGCUAGAAUGGUCAAAGUGAUAGCGGUGUAAGAUGGACUUGCGUCUGAUUAGCUAGUUGGUGAGAUAAAAACUCACCAAGGCAACGAUCAGUAGCCGGCUUGAGAGAGUGUACGGCCACAUUGGGACUGAGACACGGCCCAGACUCCUACGGGAGGCAGCAGUGGGGAAUUUUGCACAAUGGGGGAAACCCUGAUGCAGCGACGCCGCGUGAUUUAGAAGGCCUUCGGGUUGUAAAAAUCUUUUGUAUAGGAAGAAAAUGACAGUACUAUACGAAUAAGGUCCGGCUAAUUACGUG